AGCUCCAAUAGCGUAUAUUAAUGUUGUUGCAGUUAAAAAGCUCGUAGUUGGAUUUCUGACAAGAGCGGCCGGUCCGAGCCUUUCGGGUUCGAGUACUUUGUGUUGUCUCUAGUCAUCCUUAUGGAGAACGUGUGUGGCAUUAACUUGUCGUGCUCGGGACCCAUAUCGUUUACUGUGAAAAAAUUAGAGUGUUCAAAGCAGGCAAUCGCUGUGAAUACAUUAGCAUGGAAUAAUAAGAUAGGACUUUGGUACUAUUUUGUUGGUUUGCAUACCAAGGUAAUGAUUAAGAGGGACAGUUGGGGGUAUUCGUAUUUAUAUGUCAGAGGUGAAAUUCUUGGAUUUUAGAAAGACGAACUACUGCGAAAGCAUUUACCAAGGAUGUUUUCAUUA
Molecule: ribosomal RNA, 390 nt
Filed under: Oblongichytrium sp.
Lineage: Eukaryota; Bigyra; Oblongichytrida
Description: partial small subunit ribosomal RNA
Rfam family: Eukaryotic small subunit ribosomal RNA
Source: RNAcentral